This 341-nucleotide long non-coding RNA is filed under the name Elaeis guineensis (African oil palm). RNAcentral describes it as "long non-coding RNA (EGUI_LNC010695)". Lineage: Eukaryota; Viridiplantae; Streptophyta; Magnoliopsida; Arecales; Arecaceae. The record is from RNAcentral.
CCGCGUCUACAUAGAGGAAGAUGAAGGAUUCAAGGAGAUAUAUCCACUAUCAGGUGCAGCUAGAAGAUCAACUUAAUUUCGUUAUUCUUGUAUUGAACUUUUAUUUUUUUUAUUUUUUUAUUUAAUCAAUAAAAAAUAUUUUUUUUAUAAUUUUUUUAUUUUUUUCUUAGUUUCUUAUAAUCUAUUAUUUUUUUAUUUAUAUUUUUGAAACAAUCGACUAAGAUCCCUAUGGAUACGAUCCCGACUCACCCUAUCUAUAUAGUAGUGAGUAGGGUUAAUUUUGGUAUGCUACGACAUGCAUCAAUGACCACUCUUCUCAUCUUGUGGCCAAUAAGUCAUCC